AGAGUUUGAUCAUGGCUCAGAGCGAACGCUGGCGGCAGGCUUAACACAUGCAAGUCGAGCGGGCACUUCGGUGUCAGCGGCAGACGGGUGAGUAACACGUGGGAACGUACCCUUUGGUUCGGAAUAACGCUGGGAAACUAGCGCUAAUACCGGAUACGCCCUUUUGGGGAAAGGCUUGCUGCCGAAGGAUCGGCCCGCGUCUGAUUAGCUAGUUGGUGGGGUAAUGGCCUACCAAGGCGACGAUCAGUAGCUGGUCUGAGAGGAUGAUCAGCCACACUGGGACUGAGACACGGCCCAGACUCCUACGGGAGGCAGCAGUGGGGAAUAUUGGACAAUGGGCGCAAGCCUGAUCCAGCCAUGCCGCGUGAGUGAUGAAGGCCUUAGGGUUGUAAAGCUCUUUUGUCCGGGACGAUAAUGACGGUACCGGAAGAAUAAGCCCCGGCUAACUUCGUGCCAGCAGCCGCGGUAAU
This 470-nucleotide ribosomal RNA is filed under the name uncultured bacterium. Its description in RNAcentral is "bacterial SSU rRNA". It matches the Rfam family "Bacterial small subunit ribosomal RNA", at positions 8 to 524 of the family's 1533-position model. The record is from RNAcentral.